CGCACAGAUGCAGACAUGACAGGCACACCGUUCUGUGUGUUCAUUCGUAUGUCCACGAAGACAGAGAUCCCAACCGAACGCAAGCUCGUGGCGCCCGUCCAGAACGUAAAAAAGAAAAAGAAAAAGAAAAGAAAGAAAGGUCGAGAGAGAAAACUAUAUUCCUCCCUCCUCAUCACAUAUGAUACGGGGAACGUGGGAGCAAAAUAAAUGAACAUGAGCAGGAUCCGACCUGAGGGAGCAGAAAAUAUCACGGCACACGCCCACUAAGUUGACUUCUUUUACUGCGACUUCGCAUUCAAGACACGGCACGUCUUGGGAAGCAGCAGCAUAUACUCUAGGGUUUUUCCCGCCCUGGUUGCCGUCUCAGAUAUUACGGUUUGUUAGAAUAGGGU
Long non-coding RNA from Ornithodoros turicata, 392 nucleotides. RefSeq lists it as uncharacterized. The transcript is spliced from 3 exons. Lineage: Eukaryota; Metazoa; Arthropoda; Arachnida; Ixodida; Argasidae. The record is from RefSeq and is a predicted model, not a curated record.